Molecule: non-coding RNA, 31 nt
Filed under: Homo sapiens (human)
Lineage: Eukaryota; Metazoa; Chordata; Mammalia; Primates; Hominidae
Source: RNAcentral
UGGAAGGACCUCUGAGGUGUCCCGUGGCUGU